UUAAAAGCAAAGAGUCUUUAAUCUUAUGAGUUAACUUGGGUUUCCCCGUCCAUCCAUCCAACACAGCGGGUGACGCAGGAGGACCUCGAGCAGCCGUGGAGCAGGAAAUAUAUUGGGAUAGAGCAAGGGGAGUGUCUGGGGGGGGGGGUCCGCUAGUUGCAUAGCAACAGUCUCAGGAUUGGUGCACUUCCCGGCUUGGGCAACCUGUCCUGUGCUGAUUGGUCAGCUGCAGUUGCAGGAAGGUUGCUAUGCCUAGAGGCCCUCCCAGGGCGGUUGCUAUGCUCUGCAUUCCACUGUUAUCAGUAAAGCACAUCCAGAGCCUGUCAGGAAACUUCUGAUUGGUUCCUCAGAGGGUAUCUGGCUUCCUAGUGACUAGGGCAAGGUUGGGAGCUCAGCACAUGUUGUUGAGUCAGAGGCCUACAUCUUGUUGGGUCUUUUCUGCAGCCUGUCAUGGCUGCCAAGGCAGGGGGCUGGGCCCUUCAGAGAAUAGUAUCAGUCAGUUCAUUAUUUGUCUUAGUUACUGUUCCAUUGCUGUGAAGAGAGAUCAAGGCAAAAAAAGAAAGAAAGAAAGAAAGAAAGAAAGAAAGAAAGAAAGAAAGAAAGAAAGAAAGGAAAAAGGAAAGAAAGAAAGAAAAGAAAAGAAAAGAAAAGAAAAGAAAAGAAGAGAAGAGAAAGCAUUUCAUUGGCAGCUCACAGUUUCAGAGGGUGAACUUGUGAGCAUCGUGGCAGGGAGUCGUGGCAGGGAGUUGUGGUAGGGAGUCGUGGCAGGGAGUCCUGGCAGGGAGGAGUCAUGGCAGGGAGUCGUGGCAGGGAGGAGUCGUGGCAGGGAGUCGUGGCAGGGAGUCGUGGCAGGGAGGAGUCGUGGCAGGGAGGAGUCGUGGCAGGGAGUCGUGGCAGGGAGGAGUCGUGGCAGCAGGCAAGUGUGGUGCUGGAGCAGUAGCUGAGAGUUCACAUCUGGUUGACAGGCACAAGGCAGAAUGAGUGAGUCUCGGCCUGGCAUGGACUUCUGAAACCUCAAAGUCCACCCCCAGCAACACCUCCUCUAAUAAGGUCUUGUAUCCUAACCCUCCCUAAACGGUCUACCAACUGGGAACAAAAAUUCAGAUGUAUGAGCCUGUGGGAGCCAGUCUGCCACUGUUACCGUGACAGAUACCAGAAUACACACAGGAAAGGGUUAGGUAGGCUCACAGGUUUGAGGUUUCGGUCCACAUUUGGCCCUGCCAUAUUUGGGCUGUGGCAAAAUAGUGCAUGACCAUGGCAGCACACCAUGAAGCCAUUGACUUUGUGACUGGAAUGUGAAAAUCAAGGAGGAGGAAAGGGCUGGGUUCUCAAUAUCCCCUUCAAGGUCAUGUUCCAAACGACCAGAAGAUCCCCCAGGAAGAAAACCGCUUGAAGGUCCCCCAAUCUCCAAACAGAGGCACAGGUCGGGAAGCAAACCUGUAACACCCAGACGAUCUGGGAGACAUGCCUCCCAAGUGUCACAGUAAG
RNAcentral lists this long non-coding RNA (1488 nucleotides) under Cricetulus griseus (Chinese hamster). Its description in RNAcentral is "lncRNA (ENSCGRG00015036800.1)". Lineage: Eukaryota; Metazoa; Chordata; Mammalia; Rodentia; Cricetidae. The record is from RNAcentral.